GGAUACCUNGGCANACAGAGGCUGAUGAAGGACGUGNUUANCUGCGAUAAGCUUCGGGUAGCUGCUACAAGCGUUUAACCGGAGAUUUCCGAAUGGGGCAACCUAUAUAGGGUCAUGCCUAUAUAUCCUUAUCUGAACACAUAGGAUAAGGAAAGGAACCUGGCGAACUGAAACAUCUAAGUAACCAGAGGAAAAUAAAUCAAUUGAGAUUCCCUUAGUAGCGGCGAGCGAAACGGGAACAGCCUAAACCUUAGCUUUGUUAGUAGCGUACAGGCGCUGAAGCUAGGGUGUUGUAGGAUUGCUUUUUAUUUAGCUGUAUCUAGAUAGGCAAGUUACAAAUAAACAGUAUAGUAGAAGAAAGCUGGAAAGCUUCGCCAAAGAGGGUGAUAGCCCCGUACACGAAAUAUUGUUUACUUGCUUAAGUAAUUCCUGAGUACCGUGGGACACGAGAAAUCCUGCGGGAAUCUGGGUGGACCAUCAUCCAAGGCUAAAUACCAUUGUAUGACCGAUAGUGAACCAGUACCGUGAGGGAAAGGUGAAAAGAACCCCGGAAGGGGAGUGAAAUAGAACAUGAAAUCAUAUGCCUACAAGCAGUCGGAGCUUCUUUAUGAAGUGACGGCGUGCCUAUUGAAGAAUGUGCCGGCGACUUAAUGUCAGUAGCAAGGUUAAGUUUUAUACGGAGCCGUAGCGAAAGCGAGUCUGAAUAGGGCGUCAAGUUACUGGUAUUAGACCCGAAACCCAGUGAUCUAUCCAUGGGCAGGGUGAAGCGGAAGUAACAUUUCGUGGAGGCCCGAACCAUUGUAAGUUGAAAAUUGCUUGGAUGACCUGUGGAUAGUGGUGAAAUGCUAAUCGAACUGGGAGAUAGCUGGCUCUCCUCGAAAUGACUUUAGGGUCAGCCUUGAGGUUUAGGCAUCUGGAGGUAGAGCACUGUUUAGGCUAGGGGCGUCACCAACGUUACCAACCCUAGGCAAACUCCGAAUGCCAGAUGUUCAUACUCAGGAGUGAGUCUUAGGGGGCUAAGCUCCUAAGACAAAAGGGAAACAGCCCAGACCGUCAGCUAAGGUCCCUAAAUAUAUGCUAAGUGGUAAAGGUAGUGGUAUUACUCAGACAGUCAGGAGGUUGGCUUAGAAGCAGCAAUCCUUUAAAGAAAGCGUAAUAGCUCACUGAUCGAGUGAUACUGCGCCGAAAAUGUAACGGGGCUAAGCAUAUUACCGAAGCUACGGGAUGUAUGAUUUCGUCAUACAUCGGUAGAGGAGCGUUCUAUAGUAGGAUGAAGCCAGAUCGUGAGUUCUGGUGGACGAAGCAGAAGUGAGAAUGUCGGCAUGAGUAACGAAAAAACAAGUGAGAAUCUUGUUCGCCGUAAGCCUAAGGUUUCCUGGGGAAGGCUCGUCCGCCCAGGGUUAGUCGGGCCUAAGGCGAGGCCGAAAGGCGUAGUCGAUGGACAACAGGUUAAUAUUCCUGUACUACUUAUUAGUCGUUAUUAGCGAUGGGGUGACGCAGAAGGAUAGGUUAGCCACUUAUUGGAUUGUGGUUUAAGCUUUUAGGUGUGAGAAAUUGGUAAAUCCGUUCUCUUUAACACUGAGGAGUUAUGACGAGCUGCUUGCAGUGAAGUAAUUGAUUCCGCACUGACGAGAAAAACCUCUAGUGAGAAUAAUAGGUAACCGUACUAAAACAGACACAUGUAGGCGGGUAGAGUAUACCAAGGCGCGCGGGAUAACUCUCGUUAAGGAACUCGGCAAUUUAACCUUGUAACUUCGGAAGAAGAGGUGCCUGAGUAUUGUGAAGGUAUUUACUAUUGGAGCAAGAAAAGGUUGCAGUGAAAGGGUUCAAGCGACUGUUUACCAAAAACAUAGGUCUCUGCUAAACCGUAAGGUGAUGUAUAGGGGCUGACGCCUGCCCAGUGCUGGAAGGUUAAAAGGAGGUGUCAACGCUGCUUGCAGUGUGAAGCACCGAAUNGAAGCCCCNGUNNAACNGGGCGGCNGUAACNAUAACGGUCCUAAGGUAGCGAAAUUCCUUGUCGGGUAAGUUCCGACCCGCACGAAAGGCGUAACGAAUUGAACGCUGUCUCAACGAGAGACCCGGUGAAAUUGGAGUAUCCGUGAAGAUACGGAUUAGCUAUAGCGGGACAGAAAGACCCCGUGGAGCUUUACUGCAACUUGACUUUGUGUUUUGGAAUAAUUUGUGCAGGAUAGGUGGGAGACGUUGAUCUAANNNCGUCAGGGNUUAGUUAGUCNUCCUUGAGAUACCACUCUGAUUAUUUUGAAAUUCUAAUUGAUAUCCGUUAUCCGGAAUCAAGACAUAGUUUGGUGGGCAGUUUGACUGGGGCGGUCGCCUCCUAAAAAGUAACGGAGGCGCUCAAAGGUUCCCUCAAGGCGUAUGGAAAUCGCCUGUAGAGCGUAAGGGUAUAAGGGAGCUUGACUGCGAGACCUACAAGUCGAGCAGGGACGAAAGUCGGACCUAGUGAUCCGGU
Molecule: ribosomal RNA, 2470 nt
Filed under: metagenome
Description: bacterial LSU rRNA
Rfam family: Bacterial large subunit ribosomal RNA
Source: RNAcentral